This 2240-nucleotide long non-coding RNA is filed under the name Oncorhynchus kisutch (coho salmon). RNAcentral's name for it is "lncRNA (ENSOKIG00005046535.1)". The record is from RNAcentral. Lineage: Eukaryota; Metazoa; Chordata; Actinopteri; Salmoniformes; Salmonidae.
AGGUGUAGUUUAUGGGAUGUUUCUGAUAAACUGUAGGUUUCCAUUUGAUUGGAAGGCUGUACAGGUGGUUUGGGAGAUGCGCAGUGUUGCCCAACGUCACACUCGGUGGUGGUAUAAAAUCCCCUGGGUUUGUCCUCCAGUCAUUUAUCUUGAGAAAAUACGAAGGCAGGAAAGCUACAUUACGCGCAAUUGUUGCUGUGAAGAACCCGAUAACAAGAUGACUAAAAUUGUGUUGGCUUACAUUGGGUUCCUUCUCCUUGCCAUGCAUUUUUCGUCACAGAUCCACGCGCAAAACACUACCACACAGUCCCCUGCCAUGAAUGCUACGACCAGAGCUGGCGGUGCGAGUUCCAACAUGACCAAGAUGCCCGACGUCACCAAGAACAACAUUGCCAAAGGAGCCAGUGCAUCUUUGCAGUCCAGCUCGGUUGUGCUCAUCAUACCCAUCAUGGUGGGGGGCUCACUACAGGGGCGCUUCUAGAGGGCUGUUGAGCAGUGAACAGACACCAGCAAGACUUCAACAUCAGCGGCCUAGAUGGGGCAAACUGUUCGACCAAGAUCACAUUUAAAAAAUAAUAUUCAGGAAGGCAGUCAUGUUUGCACCUAACCGAAUAGAUUCGAGGGAGUUGCGUGCUGUACCAGAACCCAUUUCUACUUCAAUGAUUGGAAUUGUUAUUUGCCCUCACACCUUCAAACCAUUAGGCCUUCACACCUCGCACACUGACCCCAUGCCCAAAGGCCGAACUGUACGGUCCUCUCCAUGGAGGCAGUCCAUGAUGAGUAUGUACUGUACGGAACUCUGCUCUUUGAACCGUUUGGUCCCGCUGUUCCUGUGUAGACACCAGGGGGUAGUUUAGUAAUUUGUUAAGAAGUUAACAUAUCUAAAGAAAUGUUGGUUGAGGCACUUUGAAAAUAAGGUAUAAAUGAAUCUGUGGCAUUUCUGCACCUGCAGUGAGUACUUUGUCAGAGGCUUGAUGUACACUUGUGAUUUAUUUCUAGAAAUGGAAUUGUGAGAUAGCAUGUGAGAUUUAAUUGUAUGAAUCAUGAUGUGAUAUGCGUAGAUUUGUUUUUUAAGGCCAGGUUCAAUAAACCUUUAAAAUGUAGGAUACUUGUGAGAAUUUAUUUGUAUAAUAAAAAUAUUUUAACAAUGUUUCUUCUCCUGUCUCUAAAUUCUAAAGCUUGACCUGACAAGUAAUUUGCUCUGUUCCACUUGUGUCCAGCCCCUUUAUUGAUCACAUGGCUAAACCCAGGGAUUUCCUUAACGUAGACUAGGUGUGAUGUGCCACAAAUUAAAUCCUUAUUUUAGAAUGGGGUAUAGGAAUGUUCACCUUUGGCCAGUUGUAGCAUUUAUGCUAUGUCAACUAGGACCUUUCUUGCAUUCCUUGUGGCCAAAACAGUUCAGUUUCCUGACAGUUGACUCACUUGCAGGCUGCUUUAAUUAGAUUUACUUUACCCUAGCUACAUUGACCUGUGACCAGUCCAUUUACUAACUAGCCUACAAAGAUGUUCAGGGGAAGGCUGGCUGUAAAGUAUAUUUGACCUAACACUAGUUUCUUGACACUGGGUCUUGCUGGUUGGCUCUCAGCCAAAGGGAUGGUUAACUUUUUAGACUUAUCAUCCCAUAACUCUAAGCCAGGGGUUUUAAACUAUAUUGCAUGGUUUAUAAGGUCAUACCAAGGUCAAUUUUCCUGUUUUAACAACUCCCUUGACUCAACUAAUGUAAUUAUUUGUGACGAGCCCAUAGUUUGUUCUGUCUGUCCAAGCUAGACCUGAGAGAUCAGGAUACUUUUCUGGAACUAAGUCUAUUCAACUGAUACUGUGGGACCUUCAAGCGAUGUUUGAGUCUGACCUUUCCAGAAGAGUUGUAGUGUGUAGACUUCAUAUGCAACAGACUCAUUAGAGGCUGUUCAGACUAGUCCCAAGAUGGUUGUAGAGAAACUGAAUGUGUUCGCUAGUGAAGUGAGUAGACUGGUUUUUGAGAUAUCUCAUGGUCUUACUAACACACCUUACACAGGCAGAUGUGGUGGAUUGAGAUGCAUCCAAUGCAAAAAAAACAUCUUAAACUGACUUUUGUGGGGAUUUAAUGCUAAUUGACCUAAGGGGGUUUGAACUGAUGCUGUAGAUUGGUCAUUCUCAAUUUGUUUUUGGGGCUUACCUGUUUGGCAUUAAUGUGUCACAUCAGUUUGUAAAAAAAAAAAAGGAUUAAAGCUGCAUACAAACAUGGUCUCUUUUGCUUUCUU